AUAUAUUUAAAAGCGUAGCCUUACCAAACGAUCGAAAAAGGCAAAGGAGAAAAAGAAAGAAAGCGAUUGGUUUGGUGGCAGCAGUAGCUCAGCUUCCCGUCAUCAGAGCCAUCGUCGUGUGGAAGCUGACAAGGAGCUUCCCAAACUUUCUGAAUUCUUUUUUAUAUAUAAUUCCUCUGUUAUUUCAUUGUCUAAGAGCAGGAAGCAACCCUAGUUCAGCUUCGUUAAAAAUGGAUGCUGUUAUGGACAAAUUUCAUGUUGAAAACGACUCCGUUUUGGCUGACUCUGCUCUGUCCCAGAAGCUCAUUAUCGAUACUGACCCUGGGAUCGAUGAUAGCAUGGCAAUCUUAAUGGCAUUUCAAUCUCCUGAGUUAGAGAUCUUAGGCUUGACAACAGUAUUUGGUAAUGUUACCACAAAAAAUGCCACGCGUAAUGCUUUGCUUCUGUGUGAGAUCGCAGGGUGUCCGGGUGUUCCUGUGGCAGAAGGCAGCCCCGAGCCUCUAAAGGGAGGAGAGCCACGUGUUGCGGACUUUGUUCAUGGUUCUGAUGGACUGGGAAAUAUUUUCCUACCUUCUCCAACAGUAAAGAAAUUUGAAAAGACUGCUGCUGAAUUUUUGGUUGACAAGGUCUCUGAAUACCCUGGUGAAGUAUCUGUCCUUGCACUAGGACCACUGACUAACUUGGCUCUGGCAAUAAAAAGGGACUCCUCCUUUGCAAGCAAGGUGAAAAGGAUAGUUGUACUCGGAGGUGCUUUCUUUGCACUUGGAAAUGUAAAUCCUGCUGCUGAAGCAAAUAUUUAUGGAGACCCAGAAGCAGCUGAUGUGGUCUUCACAUCUGGAGCAAACAUUGCUGUAAUUGGAAUAAAUAUCACAACCCAAGUUAAACUUACAGAUGAUGACCUUCUUGAAUUGAGGCAAUCAAAAGGGAAGCAUGCUCAAAUAUUAUGUGAUAUGUGCAAAUUCUACAGAGACUGGCAUGUGAAGUCUGAUGGUGUAUAUGUGAAAUGCUCCUGGAUUUGUUGUUCCAGGAAUUUUUCUUCACGACCCUGUGAGUUUUGUGGCUCUGGUUCGCCCUGAUCUCUUCAGCUUCAAGAAGGGGGUUGUGAGAGUCGAAACACAGGGCAUCUCCGUGGGACAUACACUAAUGGACCAAGGACUAAAACUGUGGAAUACAAGCAACCCUUGGACAGGAUAUUCCCCUAUAGAAGUUGCCUGGACAGUGAAUGUGGAUGAGGUGCUCAAUUACAUCAGAAAAUUGUUGAUGAAACCAUGAGAAAAUAUUCGCCAUCCAGGCUUUUGAAGAUGGCAGACACCAGUCUGAAGCGUUGAAGCCCUCUAUGGUCUUGCCAUUACUUCCUGGACCUAUGACAAUUGUUUGGGGACAAGGGGCCAACUAUUGUUUCUAACCAUCAUUUUAAACUCUUACGGAUGUGUGCAAAAACAUUCACUUGCUUGAUGUUCAACUGGUAAUUCAAUAUAGUGAAUUUCUGUUAUUUAAUCA
Molecule: RNA transcript, 1500 nt
Organism: Manihot esculenta (cassava)
Lineage: Eukaryota; Viridiplantae; Streptophyta; Magnoliopsida; Malpighiales; Euphorbiaceae
Gene name: uridine nucleosidase 1
Exons: 9
Source: RefSeq, a predicted model, not a curated record